GAUGAAGAACGUAGCGAAAUGCGAUAAGUAGUGUGAAUUGCAGAAUUCAGUGAAUCAUCGAAUCUUUGAACGCACAUUGCGCCUUCUAGUAUUCUGGGAGGCAUGCCUGUUUGAGCGUCAUUAAACCUCUCUCAAGUAUGAUUACUUGGAUGUGAAGGAAGAGUACCUUAAACUUAAGGAGUGUUCUCCUUUGAAAUUGAUUAGCAGAUGGUAAUGUUAUUAAAUCCCUGAUGUUGUAAGAAAUAACAGUGGUUUUGUAGACUAUUAUCUAGCUUUAAAUUAUAAUUUUUAUUAUGGUUGACCUCAAAUCAGGUAAGGAUACCCGCUGAACUUAAGCAUAUCAAUAAGCGAGGA
This 354-nucleotide unclassified non-coding RNA is filed under the name soil metagenome. Its description in RNAcentral is "partial contains 5.8S ribosomal RNA, internal transcribed spacer 2, and large subunit ribosomal RNA". The stretch from base 1 to 120 matches the Rfam family "5.8S ribosomal RNA", at positions 35 to 154 of the family's 154-position model. The record is from RNAcentral.